UAGCAUCAGACCGUACCCUAAACCGACACAGGUGGAUUGGUAGAGUAUACCUAGGCGCUCGAGAGAACUGUCUUGAAGGAACUAGGCAAAUUGCUCGCGUAACUUCGGGAUAAGCGAGCCUCUCUGUUGGGCAACCAUCGGAGAGGGGCACAAACUAGGGGGUAGCGACUGUUUAUUAAAAACACAGGGCUCUGCGAAGUGGCAACACGACGUAUAGGGUCUGACGCCUGCCCGGUGCCGGAAGGUUAAGAGGAGAAGUGCAAGCUUCGAAUCGAAGCCCCGGUAAACGGCGGCCGUAACGAUAACGGUCCUAAGGUAUCGAAAUUCCUUGUCGGGUAAGUUCCGACCUGCACGAGGGCGUAACGACUUCCCCGGUGUCUCCAAGACAGACUCAGCGAAAUUGAAAUCUCCGUGAAGAUGCGGAGUACCCGCGGCCAGACGGAAAGACCCCGUGCACCUUUACUAUAGUUUUGCACUGGUACUAGGCAUUGGAUGUGUAGGAUAGGUCGGAGGCUUUGAAGCAUUGGCGCUAGCCAGUGUGGAGCCAACGUUGAAAUACGACCCUUUUGGUGACUGGUAUCUAACCGCGGCCCAUUAUCUGGGCCCGGGACAUUGCAUGAUGGGUAGUUUGACUGGGGCGGUCGCCUCCGAAAGAGUAACGGAGGCGCGCGAUGGUGGGCUCAAGCCGGUCGGAAAUCGGCUGUUGAGUGCACAGCAUAAGCCCGCCUGACUGCGAGACCGACGGGUCAAGCAGAGACGAAAGUCGGUUCUAGUGAUCCGGUGGUUCUAAGUGGAAGGGCCAUCGCUCAACGGAUAAAAGGUACGCCGGGGAUAACAGGCUGAUACCCCCCAAGAGUCCACAUCGACGGGGGUGUUUGGCACCUCGAUGUCGACUCAUCACAUCCUGGGGCUGGAGCAGGUCCCAAGGGUUUGGCUGUUCGCCAAUUAAAGUGGUACGUGAGUUGGGUUUAGAACGUCGUGAGACAGUUCGGUCCCUAUCUACCGUGGGUGUUGGAAGCUUGAGAGGAUUUGCCCCUAGUACGAGAGGACCGGGGUGAACGUACCUCUGGUGUACCAGUUGUUCCGCCAGGAGCAUCGCUGGGUAGCUAUGUACGGACGGGAUAACCGCUGAAUGCAUCUAAGCGGGAAACCCACCUCAAAACCAGGCUUCCCUGAGAACCGUGAUAGACCAUCACGUUGAUAGGCCGGGUGUGGAAGCGCCGCGAGGCGUGCAGCUAACCGGUACUAAUUGUGC
This 1255-nucleotide ribosomal RNA is filed under the name metagenome. RNAcentral's name for it is "bacterial LSU rRNA". It matches the Rfam family "Bacterial large subunit ribosomal RNA", at positions 1632 to 2910 of the family's 2925-position model. The record is from RNAcentral.